Molecule: transfer RNA, 72 nt
Filed under: Equus kiang (kiang)
Lineage: Eukaryota; Metazoa; Chordata; Mammalia; Perissodactyla; Equidae
Description: tRNA-Thr
Source: RNAcentral
GUCCCUGUAGUAUAUUACACAUUACUCUGGUCUUGUAAACCAAAAAAGGGGGAAACACUCCCCCCAAGGACU